Long non-coding RNA from Corticium candelabrum, 1595 nucleotides. RefSeq lists it as uncharacterized. The transcript has 3 exons. The record is from RefSeq and is a predicted model, not a curated record. Lineage: Eukaryota; Metazoa; Porifera; Homoscleromorpha; Homosclerophorida; Plakinidae.
GAAAACCGAGAAAUGUGGAGAAAACAGAAGAACCUAGAUAUGAGAAAGGCAAUGUUCAACUUGUUGGAGGCAGUUCUGGCAAUAAAGGACGAAUAGAGAUAUUUACAAGUAAGCAAAUUGUGUACAACAGUUGUACAUGUAUACUGUACAUGUAACUACAUCAUAUCUACAAGUACAAAGAUUACUUGUGCUGUUUGAGAUCAACUCUAAAAGUUAAUGCUCUUUGUAAUAUAUUUAAAAACUAAUUAAUUAAUGUUAGCUAAGGUGUCUCUUGUUAGUCACUGCUCUAGGUCGACAUUAAUUAACGUCAGACAUGAAGUUUCUACGUUAAACAUUGCUAUCGUUUUCUUUCUAGGAACAGAUAGGGCUCUGUGUUCAACAAUAUCUGAGAUGUCAAUGCGGCAAACGUGGUGUGCCAUAGACUUGGCUUCGACAAGGCAGACACUUUAAGGACACCAACAUACUCCAACCCUCUUCAGCCUGCUGCAUCCACCCAGUUCAGCAGUGUCAACUGCGACGAAUACGAAAAAUCAUUAAGCCAAUGCAUAUAUACUAUUUCGAACACUGAAACAUGUUAUGGGCGAGACGUGGGUGUAGUCUGUGUGAGUAAUGGAGAAGAAAACACAGGAGACCGUACAGGAGUCCAUACAGCAAACCGCACAGGAGUCCAGUUAGACCACCUAAGAGACAAUAUACGAGACAGCACAGGAGAUCCCACAGCAUCUACCUUAGGUUUGGUCAGUUCAUCACAAAUGUCAACGAGGUAUUUUUCCCCUAGUAGGAAUCAGCCUAAUCGUUGCAAUCUGUUCUGUCAUAUGUCGUCGUCUAAGGUAACGACAAUCUUUGACUGUUGAAACCUGUUCAGCCGGUAAUACAAACCCACAAAUCAAAUUGAGAGGUUGUCCGUCUGCAAAGUCAAAACCAUCAUUACAGAUUCCAACAGCACACUCAGGACUACCAUCUCAGAUUCCAGAGACACAGUCAGAACCAGCAGCUUCGAUUCCACACACACAGUCACCACCAUCGUUUACGAUUCCACAAACACAGUCAGCACCAUUCUUUCAGAUUCCACGAACGCAAGCAGAACCAUCACUUCAGAUUCCACCAAUGCAGUCAGCACCAUAAGCUCAGAUUCCACCAACUCAGUCAGCAGCACCAUUUGAGAUGCCACUGACACAGUCAGCAGCAUCAUUUCAGAUGCCCCUUACAACAGUCAGCAUAAUCGGCUCUGACCCAUCCUUUGAUAUCUAUAGCAGUUAUUGUCCAAACAAGCCAGGUACUCAAUCUGAACGUCCUUACUCUAAUCAACCUCGUGCCUAUUAUGCUACGCUCAAGACAGGCCAAGCUCACUACAACAACAACCGGUGGUUUUUCCUUCACCAUUUCAAGAGCAAUCAUUCAUCAAUAACUGAUCAAUCACUAAGCAAAACUUUGCAACAAAUUCAAGUGUUGCCAUAAAGUUAAAUGAACAUCAAAAAAGCGUUGCAUAUAUGCAGGAAGCUGCUAUAACUUGUGUGUUGUCAAAUAAUUUGAAACUUGUCGUUUUCCAUGUUUUAUAUGUAUAAGUGUCAGCUGUAUGAAUAAAAAAUAUAAUA